CGGAUACAACCUACUAUAAAAGAUGUCUACAGUAUAUGAAAUAAUUCACAGUUAAAAGAAGAAGAUAAGAAGUCAACAUGCAGUCAGCUGUACUGUGUAUAUGUUUAACUCUACUCAUAGUAGUUAUAAGUUCAGAUGCCCUACGAAUUAGGCCUACAUCACCAACUUACUGUAGACGUCCGGUCUGUAAAACAGAGUGUCCUAAAGGUCGGGAACGUAAUUCACGUGGAUGCUUGACUUGUAGAUGUAAACCCACCAUAAUUCGACCUCCUAAACCAGUGUGCGGACCACUGUGUCGCAUGUACUGCCCAAAUGGUAAUGUUAAGGACUCAAGAGGCUGCCCUAUCUGUAAAUGCAAGCCGGAACGAUGUCCACGGAUUAAGUGUUCAAGACCAUGCUUGUUUGGGAGGUAUGUCAAGAAUUCUAAAGGCUGCCGAACCUGUAGAUGUAGAAGACGUUAUACUCCAAGACAUUAAAGAACAUACAGAAUACAGUGUAACCAAUUGGAUUUAAAACAGGUCCAUCAAUUUGGUUCACGGUAGUAAAGAUAAUGGACGUUACAUAGGGAGAGGAAUAUAUCCGAUGUGAUUUUCAAUUCGUCAUAUCUUUGUAAAUACUGAAUGCAAUUAAAGCGUUUGUCGACAUUUUAUUAUGUCCCUUUAAAGAGAUACAGCUUUCACCAUAUUGUAGUUUGCCAUGGUUUCUACAGCGCUAAAAUCACGCAUAAACAUUUAAAGAUGGGUUCUAUAAGAUGUAGAUAAAGCGGUGACGGUUCUUGUUGUAAUAGAUCCAAAAUAAAUCCAAAAUAAAUCAAAAAUAGAACAUGAAAAAUGAAUAUAUUGAAAAUUAAUUCAGAUUUCACUAUACCGUAGUUUGCAAGGAUUUAUAUAGUGCUAAAAUCACGCAUAACUCUUUAAGGAUGCAUUAUGUAAGAUGUAUAGAUAAAGAACUGGCCGUACUCGCUAUAAUAGAUCCAAAAUAGAUCCUGAAAGAUGAAUAUAGUCAAAUAUUGAAAUUUAAAUUUCAUUCAAAUUAUGACAGUUUGAAGCUGUAGCGUUGAUUGUUUAUUAUGUAGUUUCGAUUUUAUAGUUAAAUUUUGUAAUUUCGCGGGUGUCCAAAUUCAUUUAAAUCUCAGCCAUCCAAUGUUCUAGAGAGUUGAUUAUAGGCUUGUCAUGUAAAUAAAUAUCUAAAUAAGAGUUUAUAUAACAUUUGAAGCCAAAAUAAAGAUCGACAAUAGUCAGAUUUAACUCUUGCAUAAUGCAUCUUUAAGUUAUUUUCACUAAUGUUUUGUGUGUUGUUUACCAUGAUUUUGAUAUUUGUUAUAUUUAUGAUGGUUGCGUUGAAAGUUUUCUAUACUUUGUUCGAUUUUAAUUUUCUAUAUUAAUUUUGGAUUAAAAAGCUUUUGAAUUAUU
Molecule: long non-coding RNA, 1412 nt
Organism: Patella vulgata (common limpet)
Lineage: Eukaryota; Metazoa; Mollusca; Gastropoda; Patellidae
Exons: 5
Source: RefSeq, a predicted model, not a curated record